Molecule: ribosomal RNA, 497 nt
Filed under: uncultured bacterium
Lineage: Bacteria
Description: partial 16S ribosomal RNA
Rfam family: Bacterial small subunit ribosomal RNA
Source: RNAcentral
GAUGAACGCUGGCGGCGUGCCUAAUACAUGCAAGUAGAACGCUGAAGCUUGGUGCUUGCACCGAGCGGAUGAGUUGCGAACGGGUGAGUAACGCGUAGGUAACCUGCCUCUUAGCGGGGGAUAACUAUUGGAAACGAUAGCUAAUACCGCAUAAAAGUCGAUAUCGCAUGAUAUUGAUUUGAAAGGUGCAAAUGCAUCACUAAGAGAUGGACCUGCGUUGUAUUAGCUAGUUGGUGAGGUAACGGCUCACCAAGGCGACGAUACAUAGCCGACCUGAGAGGGUGAUCGGCCACACUGGGACUGAGACACGGCCCAGACUCCUACGGGAGGCAGCAGUAGGGAAUCUUCGGCAAUAGGGGCAACCCUGACCGAGCAACGCCGCGUGAGUGAAGAAGGUUUUCGGAUCGUAAAGCUCUGUUGUAAGAGAAGAACGAGUGUGAGAGUGGAAAGUUCACACUGUGACGGUAACUUACCAGAAAGGGACGGCUAACUUCGUG